UCAGAAAUUCUCCUGCCUCUGCC
Molecule: non-coding RNA, 23 nt
Filed under: Mus musculus (house mouse)
Lineage: Eukaryota; Metazoa; Chordata; Mammalia; Rodentia; Muridae
Source: RNAcentral